Molecule: transfer RNA, 111 nt
Filed under: Colletotrichum chlorophyti
Lineage: Eukaryota; Fungi; Ascomycota; Sordariomycetes; Glomerellales; Glomerellaceae
Rfam family: tRNA
About the family: Transfer RNA (tRNA) molecules are approximately 80 nucleotides in length. Their secondary structure includes four short double-helical elements and three loops (D, anti-codon, and T loops).
Source: Rfam by way of RNAcentral
GGCCUGCUGGCGCAAUGGUCGCGCGUCAGACUCCUACUUCUUGACAAGCCGUUGCUUCGAAAGGAUGAAGAGUUCAUCUGAAGGUUCUGGGUUCGAGUCCCAGGUAGGUCA